UGUGCCUAAGUUCUUGUGGGAUGAUGCAGUUAUGACAGCCACAUACUUGAUCAACCGGACACCUUCCAGGAUACUAGGCAUGAAAUCUCCGUCUGAGUUGCUCAUUGGAGAUAAUAAGUUUGUUGUUCCCCCAAAGUUGUUUGGCAGUAUCUGCUUUGUUCGUGAUCACCGACCUUCUGUUGGAAAGCUUGAUCCUCGGGCAGUGAAGUGUGUCUUUCUGGGAUACUCGUCUAGUCAGCAAGGGUAUAAAUGUUGGUGCCGCUCUGAAAAACGCAGGUUUGUAAGUAUGGAUGUUACCUUCAGGGAGUCUGAGCCAUUCUAUGGUGAGCCGACUGAUCUCAGUCUACUGUUUGCAGAGCUUGACCACCUACACCCUGUGCGUGAUGGUCAAGAGGGGGAGAAGG
RNAcentral lists this long non-coding RNA (404 nucleotides) under Triticum aestivum (bread wheat). Its description in RNAcentral is "long non-coding RNA (TAES_LNC022302)". Lineage: Eukaryota; Viridiplantae; Streptophyta; Magnoliopsida; Poales; Poaceae. The record is from RNAcentral.